This is a long non-coding RNA of Ailuropoda melanoleuca (giant panda), 3554 nucleotides long. RefSeq lists it as uncharacterized. The transcript has 4 exons. Lineage: Eukaryota; Metazoa; Chordata; Mammalia; Carnivora; Ursidae. The record is from RefSeq and is a predicted model, not a curated record.
GCGCGCUGCAGCCCCGCUGGGGGCAUGGAGGUUCCCCGCCCCUGUAUCCAGCGCUUUGGCCUCGGGGCGCGCCUUCCGGCGCACGGGUGUUCACGCGAACUCGGGCAGCCUUUGGAUUUUGCCGAAAGGGCGCUUCAAAAGAGGAUUUCGCCUCUCCCUUCGCUCUCAGUUCCCAUCACGGUCGGCUGGAGCGGUCCCGAGCUGUGACGUCCCCCUCGCCUCAUGAGCCGGGGUCUCCCUGGCCAGGGUGGGGAGGGGCGUUUUGGAGAGCACAUGGGGACGGGGAGGGGGGAGUUGUGACAGUGUGCAUGGACGUUAACAAGUUGCCGAUUAGCCCGCUAAAAGCUUGGAAACUUGAGAAGCCUCAAGGAGGACGUAAAAGCGCUUUAGGGAUGCUUCUUAACUUUGGAGGGCCUGUGAAGUCUGAUGCUAUCUUCUGUGGCAUUGCGGGUGGAUUUUCCAUUUAGUAUUGGAGACUGCACACUGGGAAUGUGCCACCAAAGUGCAGUGAAACCGAGGUGGAAGCACUGUUCCUCAGGUAGCUGAAACCGCUUCUAGAAAGCAUCUUUGGGCCCCAGGGCUGCCUCACAGCAGGAAACAGCAAAGAGACCAGCUGGCACAAGCUUUCUUUCUCUAGAAACCAGGUCUUUGCUGCUUCCCCACUGCCUACAAAAUCAUGAUCAACUUCUUCAGCUUGAUAUGCAAGACUUAUCACAGUUGAACUCAGGACUAUCUUCACAGUCUUGUCUCUGAUUGCCUGAAUACCCUAAAGUCACCCUGGACUAGCGUUCAUCAUUCCCUGCCUGUCCAUGCAAUUUCAUGCCUCUUUGCUACUGUCCAUUCUUUUCCAUCAUCUCUUCUCUUCCUGGUGAAACUCCUCUCCAUCCUUCCAGAUUUGGCUCUAAAUGUCACUCUCUUCUACAACUUCCUUUGAUCCUUUCUUCAGGGAGCUGGAGGAGGAAGUAAGGGAAGGGUCAUGUAGCAGAGAACAAAAAGGACCCAAUGAAGCUGCUAAAAUGAGUGCGAGGAGCCCUCAGACUAGAGAACACGAAGUACCUGGACAAAUGAGUGUUUGGCUACCGGGAAAUGGAGACAAAGCGCCCCAGCAAGACCACCAAGGAAAACUGGAUUUAAAGGAAGCUUCAUGCAAGUGGGUGAGAAGAGGUUAAAAGAUUUUCUUCAGAUGCACCAGGCCCUACCCUAAAGAAGGUCCUAACACAGACAGCUGUCGGACAAGAAUAGCACAGCACGCAGAAGAGGAUUGGGGCACCUGUAAAAGCAUCCAGGCCAGAGCUGAACAGAAUAUUCUUUCAGCCACCCCGGCUAAGGGUGGGCAACUGUCCUGAGUGAGGAAGAACUGAAAAUGAGGACGAGGAUUCCACUGUAUGUCCUUGCAGUCUGUUGCAUGUGGUUGUGUUUAGAGUAGUGUGGAACUCCAUACAGACACACCUCUCACUACACUGACUGGGUUCGGUGAAUCUUUUGUUGGUGUCUUAAAAUCCCCCAACUAAAAAUCUCCCCAGCUGACCGAUGCAGGUAACAUUUAGAGUUAAGGACUCUAAAAUUAAGGACUUUUCCUAUUCUAUCCAGACGUUUGUCACAUGACCCUUCUCUAGAACAGGUGGCUCCUGGCUGGGUGGUAGAAUUAUGAUGCCGUAAGAACCAUCAACUGGAUAGUAAAACUUUGCUUUCUUUUGCCUCAACAGGAUUAUGACAUCAGAUAUAAAGUAGCCAAUCAUCUCCCCCCUCCCUUCCUUCUUUCUUUCUUUUUUUUUUUCUUUCGCUUUUUACUAACAAUUUGGCUCAUCAAACUUUUUUUUUUAAAUAAGAUUUUAUUUAUUAGAGAGAGAGAGAGGGAGAAGCAGGCUCUCCACUGUGCAGGGAGCCUGAUGCAGUGCUUGAUCCCGGGACCCUGGGGUACUUAUGCUUAACUGGCUGAGCCACCCAGGUGCCUCAAGUUCAACAAUUUUUAUGGAGGUCCUAGAAUGAGUCAGUUCCUAUGCUGAGGAAAGCUAAAUAAACCUCUGUCCCUUUCUUCAAGAAGCUCACAAGCUUAUACAGGAGGCAGACAAAUGAGUUUAAUAGGGUGUGAUAAUUGCAACAAUAUCAACAUGUCUAAGAGUGAAAGAGAGAAAGCAUGAAGAAGAAUGGGGAUGAGCUCUGAGAGCCUGGGGGUAGUUAGUUAGGAAGAUUUUGUCAGUUUCCACUGGGUUUAAAUUUAUUAAAAGUGCAACUAUAGAGAAACCCCUUGCUUAUUUCCUAGGUUAGGUGCGUUAGUUAUUCCAGCAAGCCGGCAGAGUAAAUUGUACUAAAAAAAAAUGCUCAACUUUCAGUGAUUGACUAAUGCUCUCAGAAUCCAGACUUGACCUAAGCUGAGCUGUGAACCAAAACUUGAAAUAAAGGGCAAGAUUUGCUCAAUCUGAACCCUACCCAGUAUGUUAAAAGAAACAAACGAAACAACCAGCAUUAAAGAAUGUCAGAACUGCAAGAGAUCUUAGAGCUGAUCUAGUCUACGUUUUUCAUUAUGUAGAUGGAAAAAAAUGAAGCUCGGGGUGAUUAAAGACUUAUAUAAAGUCACAAGAAACCCCUAAUUGGCAGAGGGUGAGAUAAAGCAAGAGUCUUCAUCAUGAUCCAAGGGUAUUGUUCUUCCCACUUCUUCAACAUACCUGCUAGUGUACCACGAAAGAAAAAUUUGAUUUUAUCUUUUCUUUCCAAAUAAUUGCCUAGUGAGAAUAUCCUAAAAUAAUCAAAUUGAGACAAAAUUCAAAUGCUCUCCAAAUAGAGCCUUUAGUAAUCUGAUGUUUUCUUCCAUAUGUAUAAAAAAUAAGCUUUAAAAAUAGAAUUCAACCUGGUUGGCUACACGCUUGUAAUAUGAAGCAUAUGGAUUCUUCUUUCAUCAGCAACAUAGACAAUUUGCAAUCCAGGCUCCAGCUCUCUCUUAAAUUGAUUGCCAUCCAGCACUCAUCAAAAGCUCUGUGGAGGGGAUCAUUAUGAAGGGCACUUAUGAGGAUGUCCACUUACUCCUACAGGUAUGGCAGUUCUAAGCUUGUAUCAGGUAACAUCACCAGAGAGCUAAGAAAUUGCUUAGCCCUUUCUUUGGUAUGAGUUCUAGUGUUACUCCCCUUGGCAUUGAUCAAAGGUGACCACAAGGAAAAAUCAUAUCAAGAUUAUUUCUGUAUUUUCUUUAAAAAGUGGGGGAGGUAUUAAAGACACCAUCAUCUGUGUUGUUCUAGGCUCUUUGGAAAAGGAUAAGCAUAUUUUGUAACUGGUACCAGGAAAAUGUGUUCCAUUCAAAGAAGUGGUAUGUAUGGUUUUAAACUCAAAUAAUAAUAAUGAUUAUAAAAGUCAUUUUCCUUUCUGCGUUGGCUUCUACAAGGUACAGAUUAAAUGUUAAAUGAAGCUCAAUCUUUGUACAUAGGCUUAAAUUGGGGGCAUUUUUGCUUUUUUCCACUAAAAAAAUAUUUCUAAUCUAACAAUGAUAUUUUCUACAAGUCUCUUACUGUUUCAGAUCCUCUUUUGGAAGUAGUGGGGAGUAAAUAAUGAAUAAAUACCUA